RNAcentral lists this ribosomal RNA (487 nucleotides) under Dactylogyrus rarissimus. RNAcentral describes it as "bacterial SSU rRNA". It matches the Rfam family "Eukaryotic small subunit ribosomal RNA", at positions 1360 to 1831 of the family's 1831-position model. Lineage: Eukaryota; Metazoa; Platyhelminthes; Monogenea; Dactylogyridea; Dactylogyridae. The record is from RNAcentral.
UUUUUAUGUGGACCUCUGUCCUUGUGCCUCUGGUGCUUGGAUGGAACCACAUAAGCAGGUGAAACUUCUUAGAGGAACUGGCGCCCGAAAAGGCGCACGAGAAAGAGCAAUAACAGGUCUGUGAUGCCCUAAGAUGUCCGGGGCCGCACGCGUGCUACAAUGACGAUGCUACUGAGCAUGAUUAACUUGUCCGAAAGGAUUGGUGAAACUGUUCAAUCAUCGUCGUGACUGGGAUUGGGGUUUGCAAUUGUCCCCCAUGAACCAGGAAUUCCUAGUAAGCACAAGUCAUAAGCUUGUGCUGAUUACGUCCCUGCCCUUUGUACACACCGCCCGUCGCUACUACCGAUUGAAUGGUUUAGCAAGGACAUUGGAUUGAGCCCUUGCGGUUUCGGCUGCUUGGGUUUGAGAAGAUGUCCGAACUUGAUCAUUUAGAGGAAGUAAAAGUCGUAACAAGGUUUCCGUAGGUGAACCUGCGGAAGGAUCAUUA